UGGCAUGCUUGUGCUGGACCUCUAGUCUCCCUUCCUUUUGUAGGGGAACAAGUUUACUAUUUUCCACAAGGUCACAUAGAACAUGAGCUUGGAGCUCUGGUACAUCAGGAUUUAGAGCAGCAAAUGCCCCCAUCUAAUCUUCCAUCUAAAAUUCUUUGUAAAGUGAUCAAAGUUGAUCUUCAGGCUGACCCUAAAACAGACCAAGUAUGUGCAUAUAUAUCACUGCUUCCUGAGCCUGAUCAAAGAGAGGUUCCUGGUCCCAAUCCUGAAAUCCUGAAACCUGCAGAAAGAUGCAUGAUCCAUUCAUUUCAAAAAACACUUACUGCUUCGGAUGUAAGCAAGCAUGGUAGUUUAUUUAUUUAUCAAAAGCAUGC
This 374-nucleotide unclassified non-coding RNA is filed under the name Hevea brasiliensis (rubber tree). The record is from RNAcentral. Lineage: Eukaryota; Viridiplantae; Streptophyta; Magnoliopsida; Malpighiales; Euphorbiaceae.